GACGAACGCUGGCGGCGUGCUUAACACAUGCAAGUCGAACGGAAAGGCCCCUUCGGGGGUACUCGAGUGGCGAACGGGUGAGUAACACGUGAGUAACCUGCCCUUGACUUCGGGAUAACUUCAGGAAACUGGGGCUAAUACCGGAUAGGAAUCCUUGCUGCAUGGUGGGGGUUGGAAAGCUUCGGCGGUUUUGGAUGGACUCGCGGCUUAUCAGCUUGUUGGUGGGGUAGUGGCUUACCAAGGCUUUGACGGGUAGCCGGCCUGAGAGGGCGACCGGCCACAUUGGGACUGAGAUACGGCCCGGACUCCUACGGGAGGCAGCAGUGGGGAAUAUUGCACAAUGGGCGGAAGCCUGAUGCAGCAACGCCGCGUGCGGGAUGACGGCCUUCGGGUUGUAAACCGCGUUCAGCAGGGGCGAAGCUUGUGGUGACGGUACCUGCAGAAGAAGCACCGGCUAACUACGUG
This 465-nucleotide ribosomal RNA is filed under the name uncultured bacterium. RNAcentral's name for it is "partial 16S ribosomal RNA". It matches the Rfam family "Bacterial small subunit ribosomal RNA", at positions 28 to 507 of the family's 1533-position model. The record is from RNAcentral.